Molecule: ribosomal RNA, 207 nt
Filed under: uncultured bacterium
Lineage: Bacteria
Description: partial 16S ribosomal RNA
Rfam family: Bacterial small subunit ribosomal RNA
Source: RNAcentral
CGCGUAGGCGGCCAUCUAAGUCAGACGUGAAAUCCCUCGGCUCAACCGAGGAACUGCGUCUGAUACUGGAAGGCUUGAAUCCGGGAGAGGGAUGUGGAAUUCCAGGUGUAGCGGUGAAAUGCGUAGAUAUCUGGAGGAACACCGGUGGCGAAGGCGGCAUCCUGGACCAACACUGACGCUGAGGAGCGAAAAGCUAGGGGAGCAACG